RNAcentral lists this long non-coding RNA (695 nucleotides) under Mytilus galloprovincialis (Mediterranean mussel). The record is from RNAcentral. Lineage: Eukaryota; Metazoa; Mollusca; Bivalvia; Mytilida; Mytilidae.
CAGAAUUCAUAGGACACCGAAUUACAGAAGAAAAUGGCGUAAAUGACCUGCUUUUGAUAAACCAUCACCAGUAGAAUUAGUAUAAACAGACGAAGCAAUGAAUUUUGGAACGAAAUUACUUAAAGAACCAUUAGUUUUUGGUAUCUCUGUAUCAUUUCUGUUGUAUGAAUACUUCAGAUAUAAAAGCGAACAGAUCCAGGAUGAAAAAAGAAAGACGGAAAUAGCAACGCUUCAAAAAACAAUACAUGAAUGUGGAUUAGUAACAGAACAAAAUGAAGUCGAAAUCAAAAGUCUAAAAAGAAAAAUGAUUCAAUUUGAGGACAGAAAUUGGACUUAAGCAAAUACAUUUUCUAUCUUAUUAUAAGAAUGAUCGAUGCAAUAUACUUGUUUUAUAUAUUUGGAGCCAGUCUUCUACUUGAUUGAUACUGUGUGUUUGAAUGUCAUGGAAACAAAUAUUGAUAACACACAACUUCAGAGAGAUUAUACCUCAAAUAUUUCCUUUAUAUGUUCAAGGAACGAUCGUCUGGGUGGUCAAGUCAUGAUUGAAAAUAUCAUUAUAAGACUUUAACAAUUUCGGAAUAUUACAUUUUUUUCAUAUUUAAGUAAAUUCAUAUUUCUCAUAGACAAGCUUUUUUUUAUCUAAAGUUUUUCCACAAUAGAUUAGAAAAGAGUCUUAUAAUAUCAAAACCAAUACC